UGACAUACCAGAUAAGUAGCUGAACCGUCAGAAGUCAGCAGAGGUCAUAGUAUUAGUUGGUCUAGAACAACUAAGAAGGAC
Molecule: non-coding RNA, 81 nt
Organism: Bacillus sp. X1(2014)
Lineage: Bacteria; Bacillati; Bacillota; Bacilli; Caryophanales; Bacillaceae
Source: Rfam